This is a long non-coding RNA of Fundulus heteroclitus (mummichog), 453 nucleotides long. RefSeq lists it as uncharacterized. Lineage: Eukaryota; Metazoa; Chordata; Actinopteri; Cyprinodontiformes; Fundulidae. The record is from RefSeq and is a predicted model, not a curated record. The transcript has 3 exons.
GUGAUGCAUCUCUUCCAGCGAGGAUCUUGGUGGAGAGCCAGGGCAGCCCUCACAGGUGCAGCUCAUUGGCCUCAUCAGAGUGCUGGAGAUAAAGGAGCAGCAGAGCCUUCACUCAGUGCUGGAUGAUUAACGUCUAUUGGUUAUUUUUUGUCGCUGGUGCUUCCUAGAAGGAUAAAUUUUGUCACCAACUCCAUCUGUGUGACCACUCUGCAAGUGCCUGCCUGCUCGCUCCAUUGCCCUCUCAUCUCACUCCACCCAACUUCCGGAUCUCGGACUCACCCCAGGAAGUUCCACCUACCGCUCACCACACAGGACCCCUGAGCACUAUUCUCCAACACUUUAACCAAGAGCCUUCAAACGCCAGGCGCCAAGGAUUACAUGACUGAACCACUCCCAGAGACACCAAGGAAGCCUGUCUCGCUGUUUGUUCUUUAAAAGAAAUAAACUAAUUCU